This is a long non-coding RNA of Thamnophis elegans (Western terrestrial garter snake), 1099 nucleotides long. RefSeq lists it as uncharacterized. The transcript has 2 exons. The record is from RefSeq and is a predicted model, not a curated record. NCBI's taxonomy places the organism in Eukaryota, Metazoa, Chordata, Lepidosauria, Squamata, Natricidae.
UUCUGGAGAACAGGGAACCGGCAAAUAGUCUGGCCCCACCCUCGCUGUCUCCCAGUUGAUCUUCUUUUGUUGCCCUGAAUAGGAGAACGGAGCUGGAAAGCAGAUCUUUGGGAAGGAUUCAAUCAGUGGAUGAAAAUGCCAACUCCAGCCUAAGCAUUGUGCUGACUGUGUGACCAAUCGUCAUCCUCACCAUCAUAAAUCUGCCUACCCCAGGCCCUUGGGAAAGACUGGAUAGGAAGGGGGGAAAUGCCAAAUCCAGUCUAAACAUUUGGCUGGCUAUGUGACCAACCCUAAAAUUGUGAUGCUAGAGGUGGUUUCCGAACUUUAAACAUUGUAGUCACAACCCAAGAAUCUUCCUGGAAGAAUUGCACAUAAGCUGCUAUAGAUGAAGAUCAUCCUUUUAAGUAGAUGAAUUGUGCCAUCUGCAAUCAGAACCCUGAGAUUAACGGGAGGUGGUUAAUGUACCAGACCUCCUGUCUUGUUUAGUGACAGUAACUGCAAGGAGCUGACAGUUCUGAUUGCCUGAUACAGGAUGCUUGCACAUGUCCCACUGCACGUUAGCUUUACUACUUUGUCAUACUAAAGCUGGAAAUAGGUUUAGAGCUAGAGAAAGAACAGAAGAGGUCAGUGGAGAAUACCAUAGAGGUCAGGCACUAGGUCAGGCAUACCAACAAAAGGCUAGAGGUUAAAGCUGAACCCAGGCAAAAUUAAUGUUGGGCUUUCAACAGAACAGCAGUAGGAAAAUGCAAGUGGGAUCACACCAAAUAAAAGAAGAGUAAGGGGCUCUGACAGCUGUCCAAACUGUAACAUUCCUCAAUAAAUGCCAGACUCAGGACUAGAGAAGUAAAAUUUCCAGAAACGUUGAAGUCUUGAAGAAAAACUCCAGUGUCUUGAGUUUUCUAACACUUAAGCCUAUAUUCUCUGCUACCCUUAUUUUCUGUGAUAUCAGGUUAGCACAAGAAUUUCACUCAGAAAAAGGAAGCUUUUUUUUUCUCCAUCCAAGAGAAUUUUCUCUUUGGAACUACCACUUCCUGCUUCUGUCAACUUCAAGGUCAUACUUCUUUUGGUUUUCUAACUUCAGAAUUUUGAGAUUUUCUUC